GUUUCCCUACGGGACGCAGCAGUAGGGAAUCUUCCACAAUGGGCGAAAGCCUGAUGGAGCAACGCCGCGUGGGUGGAGAAGGUCUUCGGAUCGUAAAACCCUGUUGUUAGAGAAGAAAGUGCGUGAGAGUAACUGUUCACGUUUCGACGGUAUCUAACCAGAAAGCCACAGCUAACUACGUGCCAGCAGCCGCGGUAAUACGUAGGUGGCAAGCGUAAUCCGGAUUUAUUGGGCGUAAAGGGAACGCAGGCGGUCUUUUAAGUCUGAUGUGAAAGCCUUCGGCUUAACCGGAGUACGUCAUUGGA
This 305-nucleotide ribosomal RNA is filed under the name uncultured bacterium. RNAcentral describes it as "bacterial SSU rRNA". It matches the Rfam family "Bacterial small subunit ribosomal RNA", at positions 333 to 630 of the family's 1533-position model. The record is from RNAcentral.